UAUCUUCGGAUAGAAGCGAGUGGCGAACGGCUGAGUAACACGUGGAGACCUGCCCCCUCCCCCGGGAUAGCCGCCCGAAAGGACGGGUAAUACCGGAUAGCCGCAUGGCUAAAGCCCCGCGGGAGGGGAUGGCUCCGCGGCCCAUCAGGUAGACGGCGGGGUGACGGCCCACCGUGCCGACAACGGGUAGCCGGGUUGAGAGACCGACCGGCCAGAUUGGGACUGAGACACGGCCCAGACUCCUACGGGAGGCAGCAGUGGGGAAUCUUGCGCAAUGGGGGGAACCCUGACGCAGCGACGCCGCGUGCGGGACGGAGGCCUUCGGGUCGUAAACCGCUUUCAGCAGGGAAGAGCAAGACUGUACCGCAGAAGAAGCCCCGGCUAACUACGUGCCAGCAGCCCGGUAAUACGUAGGGGGCGAGCGUUAUCCGGAUUAUUGGGCGUAAAGCGCGCGUAGGCGGCCCGGCAGGCCGGGGGUCGAGGGGGGGCUCAACCCCCCGAACCCCCGGAACCUCCGCGGCUUGGGUCCGGUAGGGGAGGGUGGAACACCCGGUGUAGCGGUGGAAUGCGCAGAUAUCGGGUGGAACACCGGUGGCGAAGGC
RNAcentral lists this ribosomal RNA (602 nucleotides) under uncultured bacterium. Its description in RNAcentral is "bacterial SSU rRNA". It matches the Rfam family "Bacterial small subunit ribosomal RNA", at positions 75 to 722 of the family's 1533-position model. The record is from RNAcentral.